CCUACGGGUGGCUGCAGUGGGGAAUAUUGCACAAUGGGGGGAACCCUGAUGCAGCGACGCCGCGUGAGCGAAGAAGGAAUUCGUUUCGUAAAGCUCUGUCCUAUGGGAAGACAAUGACAGUACCAUAGGAGGAAGCCCCGGCUAACUACGUGCCAGCAGCCGCGGUAAUACGUAGGGGGCGAGCGUUGUCCGGAAUCACUGGGCGUAAAGGGUUCGCAGGCGGAUAGGAAAGUCUAAAGUAAAAAGCGAGGGCUCAACCCUCGUAAGCAGUAGAAACUAACUAUCUUGAGAAGUGGAGAGGUAAGUGGAAUUACUAGUGUAGCGGUGAAAUGCGUAGAUAUUAGUAAGAAUACCGGUAGCGAAGGCGACUUACUGGACACUAACUGACGCUGAGGAACGAAAGCGUGGGUAGCAAACAGGAUUAGAUACCCCGGUAGUC
RNAcentral lists this ribosomal RNA (439 nucleotides) under uncultured Peptoniphilus sp. RNAcentral's name for it is "bacterial SSU rRNA". It matches the Rfam family "Bacterial small subunit ribosomal RNA", at positions 338 to 795 of the family's 1533-position model. The record is from RNAcentral. Lineage: Bacteria; Bacillati; Bacillota; Tissierellia; Tissierellales; Peptoniphilaceae.